ACUGUUCACAAUAGCCAAGAUUUGGAAGCAACCUAAGUGUCCACCAAGAGAUGAAUGGAUAAAGAAAAUAUGGUACUUAUAUACAAUGGAGUAUACUCAGCCAUAAAAAAGAAUGAGAUCCAGUCAUUUGCAACAACAUGGAUGGAAAUGGAGAUCAUUACGUUAAGUGAAAUCAGCCAGUUCUGGAGGCCAGGAAUUUAAGCUGAGUGUUAUGUGGCUAAAAUCAAGGUAUCAUCAGGGCUGCUUCCUUCUGUCAGCUCCAGAGAGAAUACGUUCCUUGUUUCUGCCAGCUUCAGACAGACCACCUUGCAAAGGACAGCUGCAUACUCAACCUGCCGCUGUUUCUCCUGGAGGCCAACCUGGUGACCUUCCUCUUCCCUCUGGACCGCCUGAGAAGGGCGGCAGAAAAGGAGAUGGUGACAAGAUGCCUCUGCACAACCUCGCCAUGGUUUUGGCCCCAUGAUGCUCUGGCUUUCUAGUCUUCAUUGCUUUGUCUCCAACUCAAGCAUAGUUUUUGUUUGUUUGUUUGUUUGUUUUACUCAUUCUUGAGAGGAAGCCAUUAGCUUUCUUUGGAUGCUUUGUCAUUUAUCUUAUGUGACUACACCAGUUAAUCAAAGGAUCACUUGCUGCUCUUCUUCCACUAAAACAACACCCACUUCAUGCUCAUUGUCUAAAGUGGGGGCAUCAUUUGUAACUACAGAUACUAAUUGUGGGGAUCCCAGGUUUAUUAUGUGGGAGAGACUGAGACUCCCCUCAUCUGUCCCCUGAGGAGGGUUCAUAGGUGAGUGAGAAAGGGACAAGGCAGCGAUGUGGACAUCUCCCCACAUUGCCCAAGGGGCAUUGCUUCCUAGUGAGGAAACUCUCGCUGCAGUUUUCUGGCAGGGAAAUAAUACAAUCUCCAGAUCAUUUAUCAAUUUUGUUUUUUUUAAAUAAAUAUUUUGCCAUUAUUAGAUGAGUAUAUAAAAAAUAAAUAAUAUGGAUUUAUCUUGCAGUGUACCAUUUAACUCCAUCCCAAAAUAGAUCUAUUAUCUUCUCUUUUGUUCAAUGAAUACUAUUCAUACCUAGGCAAAACUGUUGCUGUUACUCAUGAUUUAAGGGCAUUAGGAAUACAACUCUAGGGAAAAAAUACUGCUAUUGGAAACCAAAAAGAGUGUCUGGGACAGGUGUCAAUCUAUUUAGAGGUUUUUUUCACCAAGGUUGAGGAUGCACCCGGGAAAAAGAGACACAAGCCACAGUGGAAUCUGUGGCCUGCACUUUUUCCAAAGAGUUUUGAGGGUUUCAAUAUUUAUAGGGGAAAAAGCAGGCCAAAGGGAAAGGAAAGAAGACAAAAAGGGGAGAGUAGAAAAAAUGAGACAAGUGGUCUCAUUGUCUUGAGGCUUUCAUUAGUUCUCACUGAAGCCACAGGUUGCCCAUGAAAAGGAGGGGGUAGAGGAACAGCUGAUUAUGUGCUCGCCUGGCACUGGUAAGGCUGCACCUCACAUGAGAUAAAGCAAACAUAGAGUAGAGGAAGCAUCAACAUGCAUUUGUCUUGGGGUGGUGGUAGGAAUAUUUCUAGUUUCCUUUUGUCCUGUAUCCCUGAAGAUAAGUUGCUAAUUUACAUGGUCAGGGUGAGGGAGGUAACCUGGAAAGAUAUGUUUAGGAACAAAAGGAAAGAUGGUUUCUGGGUGUGACUCAGUUUCCAAGUUUAACUUUCCCUUUUGGCAUAGCGAGUUUGGGGUCCCAACAUUUUAUUUUCCUUUUACACUAUUGACUACUAACAGUCUUUGUUGUUAAAUUCCAUCUGUUUUAAAAUUUUAAUAAAAUAUUUAUAUCAUAAAAUAUAAAUUAUUCACUUAUAAGAUUAAUAUAAAUAAUAUUAACAAAACAUUGUCUUGAAAAAUGUAGUUUGACAAAGUUUCAAUCUGAGUAAAAGAUAGUAUCUUAAAUACAGUAUUUUUUCACUGCUGGUGAGAGAGAAUCUAAACUUUCUGUGAAGACUAAGAAAGUCUCACAUUCUUGGUGCACGCCAGGAAGCCCCGUGUUCCUUGGAUGUGGAGGAGUUGAACAUGAAGGAGCUGGCUGUGAUGUCAGCAUGUGAAGGUGGAGGAACUCCAGCCCAGGAGGGGCUCCUGGAUCCACCCGCCCCAGAUGGACUCGAGGUGGGGAAGGCAGCCUGGAGGCUUGGGAGGCCUGAGUAGAGAGGAGGGAACAGCGCUCCCUUAAGACCCAGGCCCACUCCCAGGGAAGGGAGCAGCAGGGCCACACUCUUGGCCACCUUGGAAGAGCUCCUUGCUGUGGGCUGAUUCCCACGACCUUGUCUAGGGAUUCCAGCAUUUUAGGUAGCUCCUCCAUUGCCUUCGUUGGUUAGAGCAUUUGGAACUUUUCUUUUUCACUUCUCGAACCAAAGAAGUUAAUUCCUUCAUCGAUACCAAGUUGGCACUCUUCACCUUUUUGUAAGCAUCUGCAAGGCUGGGAAUAUUUAAAGACUCCUUCUUUAGCCAGGCAUUCUCUAGUGCUGCCUCCAUCUCUGCAUACUCCUUUUUCAAAACACCAAGCUUCUAAAUGAAUUGAUUUUUUUCUCACAUUCUGCAGCCUGUGUUUUGUGAGUCACUUUUCAUGUCUUACAUAAAGUCAGCUUCUAACAGAUUCAACAAGUCUGAACAAAAAUAAAAGACCUACCAAGAAGCUGAUGAGACCAGUGUCUCCCCUGAUGGCUUUGGAAAGUGAGUUGUGGACUGAAGCCAUUGGGCAGCAUCUUAUAUAUCACCUCACACAUUUCGUAAAUAUCAGCCCCAAACGAAGUUUCACAGAAGAUCCCGGCCCCUCCAUCCCUGCAACCAUGGAUUCUGCACCACAACAAACCCUGGGGAACACCUCAGCAUUCCACCUGGAAUCAACCAGGAACAGGCAGCCUAUACUAGUCAGUUUCAUGGUCACCAUCAAGGAGGAUUAGUAAAUAAACAUGCUUGUCUCCUUACUGUCUAGUAAUCAGUCUUCUUUACCUGUUUCUUAUUGUAUGUGUAUCAACAGACAAUUAAAAUAUAGUGAAAGGUGCCAAUCUUAAGUGUAUAGCUUGAAUAAGCCUUUAAAAUGUUAUACCCCCACUGCGUCCUGCAACCCUAUCAAGGUAUGAGUCCUGUGUAUCAACACAGAAAUCCCCCCCAGUUCCUUUCCAAUCAGUGUCCACUCGCCCUGACUCACGCAGCCUUGGAGAAGGUUGCUCUGAACACAUCCCAGUUGAGCCUCAGCAUCAAGGUCAUGGAAUCAAUUACAAUGUGCUUUCUGAUCUCUGCCUGCUUUGCUCAAAGUGUUUUUGAAACUUAUCUGUUCU
This 3310-nucleotide long non-coding RNA is filed under the name Homo sapiens (human). Its description in RNAcentral is "HSALNT0257858". The record is from RNAcentral. Lineage: Eukaryota; Metazoa; Chordata; Mammalia; Primates; Hominidae.